Molecule: long non-coding RNA, 393 nt
Organism: Carya illinoinensis
Lineage: Eukaryota; Viridiplantae; Streptophyta; Magnoliopsida; Fagales; Juglandaceae
Exons: 3
Source: RefSeq, a predicted model, not a curated record
CUUUAUUCUUCAUUGACCAGGAAAUUACCUCAAGUUCCAUUAUGCCAUAAAGAAGGCUUAUCCAGAUUGUGACAAGUUUUCUCAAAAGUUGGAUCACCCUGCAGAUUUGUAUAAUUAUCAUGUUAAUACAUCUGCCAAGGACAUGUUUUCGAUGGCUCAUCGGUUCGAUCUUGCAUCACGUGACGGUCCAAAGGCUUUUGUAAGUGAGUAUGUUGUAACUGGGAAAGAUGCUGGCAAAGGAACUCUUUUAGCAGCACUGGCCGAGGCUGCAUUCCUUAUUGGAAUUGAACAGAACAAGUUUGAUGUAAUUUAAUUUUGAACUUGCUUACUGUGAAAUUGUGCUUGCAAUUAUUUCAAUUCAGUCCAAAUUUGACGAUUCAUUUUUCCUCCAAA